GUAUAACUGUCUAGUGUGUCUAACUGCUUAGCCAAAUUUACUAAGCUCAAUGCCUAGUUAAAAAUGAAAGAAAGAAAUCAAACAAGAAAUAAAGAAUGAUGAGACAGUAGUCAAAUAGUUGUUAUAGCACUUGUUGUUUUAAUUUGCAGGAAUAAUUAUCUAGUAGAAGUGAUGUUGCAUAAAUAACCGAAAAAGUUAUAUCAGGAUCAAUUAAGGGAGUGUUUUCUUUAAAGAUAGAUGGUCU
Molecule: unclassified non-coding RNA, 244 nt
Filed under: Hevea brasiliensis (rubber tree)
Lineage: Eukaryota; Viridiplantae; Streptophyta; Magnoliopsida; Malpighiales; Euphorbiaceae
Source: RNAcentral